UACGGAGGGUGCAAGCGUUGUCCGGAUUUAUUGGGUUUAAAGGGUGCGUAGGUGGCUUGUUAAGUCCGGGGUGAAAGCCCACAGCUCAACUGUGGAACUGCCCUGGAUACUGGCGAGCUUGAGUCCAGACGAGGUUGGCGGAAUGCAUGCUGUAGCGGUGAAAUGCAUAGAUAGCAUCCAGAACCCCGAUUGCGUAGGCAGCUGACUAGGCUGGUACUGACACUGAGGCACGAAAGCGUGGGGAGCGAACAGG
Molecule: ribosomal RNA, 253 nt
Filed under: uncultured bacterium
Lineage: Bacteria
Description: partial 16S ribosomal RNA
Rfam family: Bacterial small subunit ribosomal RNA
Source: RNAcentral